This 29-nucleotide non-coding RNA is filed under the name Cricetulus griseus (Chinese hamster). Lineage: Eukaryota; Metazoa; Chordata; Mammalia; Rodentia; Cricetidae. The record is from RNAcentral.
GUAAGUCCCAGGAUUGGUAAUGGGGGGUU